RNAcentral lists this ribosomal RNA (250 nucleotides) under uncultured bacterium. RNAcentral describes it as "partial 16S ribosomal RNA". It matches the Rfam family "Bacterial small subunit ribosomal RNA", at positions 524 to 773 of the family's 1533-position model. The record is from RNAcentral.
UACGAAGGGAUCUAGCGUUGUUCGGAUUUACUGGGCGUAAAGGGCGCGUAGGCGGUUAUGUAAGUAAGAUGUGAAAGCCCUGGGCUUAACCCGGGAACUGCAUUUUAAACUGCAUAGCUUGAGUGUUGGAGAGGUAAGUAGAAUUCCCAGUGUAGAGGUGAAAUUCGUAGAUAUUGGGAAGAAUACCAGUGGCGAAGGCGACUUACUGGACAACAACUGACGCUGAGGCGCGAAAGCGUGGGGAGCAAAC